AUGGUAACUGGAAAGGACAAGGAGUCAGGACCUAGCCUGGUUAAGCCCAAUCAGAUCCGGCCCCUCACCUGUGCUGUGUUUGGUUACUCCAUUACCACUAAUUACUGUUGGGCCUGGAUCCGUCAGCCCACAGGGAAGGGGCUGGAGUGGAUGGGGGAAAUAUAUUAUAAUGGUAACACUUACUACAGCACAUCCCUUAAGAGCCGCACCUCCAUCUCCAGAGACCCAUCCAAGAAUGAGUUCUCCAUGCAGCUGAGCUCUGUCACCACAGAGGACACAGCUGUGUAUUACUGUGCAAGAAGCACAUUGAUGACCACAGGGUACUUCUCACAGCUCACACCACUCCAGAGAAUGUCUGGAUACUCCAACCUGCAGGGCACCAUGGUCAUCAAGACCAUGGAGGAGUGUGUGAAGACAGUGGUCCAUGAGUGA
Non-coding RNA from Castor canadensis (American beaver), 432 nucleotides. The record is from the annotation of a RefSeq genome assembly. Lineage: Eukaryota; Metazoa; Chordata; Mammalia; Rodentia; Castoridae.